GCAAAGGGUGCGGGGUCGUUGAGGAGGAGGGUUGCUGGUCUCGAGGCGGCGGCGGAGACGGCGGAGGGAGCGGGAGGAGGUGGUGGCGACGUGCCGGCCCGGAGGUAGGUGGCGGCGGCGGACGGCCAGGAGACGGGAGGAAGGCGGCGGGCGGCCAGGAGACGGGAGCGGGCGGCAAGUCGGCGACGGACGGCAAGGAGGCGGGAGCGGGCGGCCAGGAGACGGGAGCGGGCGGACAGGAGAAGAGGCGGAGGCGCUCACACUCGUCGGGAGGCGGCCAGGAGGAGACGAAGGGGUUGUUCCGCCCUCUCGCAGUCGUAGGGCGGCCGUAAGGAGACGACGGGGAGCCUUUUUGCACUCGCACCGCCCCACCGCCGCAGGAGGAGACGACGGCUGCUGGAGUAGGAUCGGUCAUUCAAAAGAAAUGUAAGUUCACACCUAAUUAUCUUGUCGUACGAAAUACAAGGAAGGUGUGUUCUAUUAGACUAAAAAGACCAAUCACGUACCUACUAGGAAGGUGCGUCGUUUGUUUCAAUUGGUGGUAAUAAGACCUUGUUAACGGCGUCCAUUUAAUAGUACUAGGUUGCGGUGUGAGUUGUGAUUUUCCCAAUCAGACCAAUAACUCAUAAAUUCGAGAAGCAUACCAAGUGUUUAACAAACGGGAGUGGACCAGGCCCUUCAGCUGCUACCACCGCGACGGACUCUCCUGUUGGUGCUUGCCAAUAUGAUUACUCUAUUGUAUCCAAAUUAUUAGCAUGUCCAAUGAUAAUAUCAAGAAGUCGUUUUCGUUAGACGAGAUAGGAGAGGGAGUUAAAAAGAGCAGUUAGAGACUUGCAACGAUCUGUUUCUUUAACUGUUUCAAGUCAACAUCCCCUCCUAGUUAGAGACUUGUAACGAUCUGUUUAUUUAACUGUUUCAAGUCAACGUCCCCUCCAGUAGUUUCCCUUGACGAGGUCAAAAGACACACUCAGUAACAGGCCAAGACUUCUAAGACUGUUACAUGUUACAGGUCAAGUCAAAUCAAGUGUGAAAAACGUUAAGUGUUUAGUACUGCCCAAUUAAGAAUAAAAACUGAUUUGAGUUAAAACGAAUGCGAUAAGGAGUCAUCAUAAUUUUUUUCAAUAGAGACGUAACGAUAAGAAGUCAACGUAGAGCGACAUGAUUAGAGACUUCUUAUACGAUAAGAAGUCAACGUAGAGGGACAUGAUUAGAGACUUCUUAUACGAUAAGAAGUCAACGUAGAGGGACAUGAUUAGAGAAGAAGUCAACGUGGAGGACAUGACUAUAGUUGAUUAUAGACACUGUUCCCAGACUGAGAACCUCAAACAUUACUAGUGGGUUAGGAAUGGUAUAUAAUGGAUAAAUUAUUGAUCCGCUCAAGAGGUGUUUAGUAGUUAGUUUUCUUCAGGAAGUAGAUGAAGACGAUACAAUGCAUCUAGAAAAAGAUCGAACGUUUUCUACAUAUAGGCCCUCGGAAAUUGUACGAACUCCAAACAUCCCUACAUCUAUCUAGCCCGUGGAAACAACACACUUUAUGGACUUGAUAAUGUAGUGACUAUAAGUGAUUAAUAGUUCUAAUUACUUGACGCGGUACAGUCAUAUUAGUGAAAAAACAAAGACAGUUGUAAUAAUCUGACGUGUACGUGGGGUGCGUUAUGCUGUCAGAACUAAUCUAGAUAAUCAUAUAACGGAACGUUUAUUAACCGUCUUUUACAUCAUCUUCUAUAUCUAAUCUUAUUAACCGCUUGUGUGAAUUAACCAGUACAUGUGACAUUCGAUAUAUAGCGGCCACACCAGUACAUGUGACAUUCGAUCUUCUUAAGAGUAAUUAUAUAAUCAAGUCAAAUCUUAGUUCCCUAGUGUAUGUUACGCCACCAGUUUUAACUUCACUACUAGGCAGUCCAAGCGGAGUAGCAACAAUAACCCUUACUGAAUUAACCAGAGUCUGUGAAAAACACUGGAUUCUUUAUAGCGUUUACAAGGCGGAGGGGACAGUAGCAGAGGAACGUCAACUACGGGGGUCUGCGACUAAAGAGAUAAGGACACUCAACUAGGUGGGUGAAGUAAGAAAGGGGAAUAUAUAAUUGGAUGACAGAACAACUAAACCAAGAGAUAAAACUCGUAUACACCGUACAAGACGUGCUGUAAGUCAAAUCUAAAACAAAAACGCAGUUAAGUCAAACAAUAACAUCAAACACUCCAAUAAAAAGAAUGACACGUCUUGACUAUAAGAACACGACCCCUAACUCAAGGACAGAACGCAACUAAGUCAAAUACGUGGCGACGAGGAUCUCCCGUUCGAACGAAAUAUACGUUAGUUUACCAAUUACGAAACAACGUCAUAUACGUACGUUUGGUGGCAAACCUAACUGAACGUUAAUAUCCACCCGUACUGUUAUCAACUUCCUUCUAAGUCACCAACUCGUAAUCCAUGCGACGUUAAUGCAACUAUGACGAGGAGUUCUAGUACGGUGGUAACCUCCUUUAAACCGGAUGAUUAGAUGUAAUUUAAAAUAACCGUUAUUUAAUACGUUAGUUGAAAUCAAGUGAGAACAGAAUGAUAUAUAACAUCCAAUUAAGUGAAAACUUAUAAAAGUACCCGGAAUUCUAAUUGGAUAGGAACAAGGUAACGUGUUAGGGUUUGUUACCUUUAUAAUCAUUCAAAGUAACACCUAAGUAACCUAAGUACCAUAGUAAAAAAUUGUCCAAAAACGAUACAGUAUUAUAUGCGUUCAUCCGCACAGACUAAGAAAAAAACAUUCUUCAUAACCACGUCUCGAACUUCUUUUGGAACUCUCCCAGGUUCAAGAGAAUUCACACGAUAACAAUCUAUUACUAAACAUUCCAUAGAGUAUAAAAAGAAAGUCCUAUCUUCGAUAACAAUAGUGUUAGCGUGGACAUAGUUCCACUACGUGAAAUACACAGUAAUAGCUAGUUGUUCUUGAGAUGGUUCUACUUUCGUAACGGAAAUUUUCGUGAUACAGGUUACGAAGAUACACAUUUUAACUUACUGUAACACUAGUCAAUCUAACCACUUAACAAAGUACCGGGGCGUGUUAAUAUUGACUACUAAGUACAUCAUAAGUUUCG
RNAcentral lists this ribosomal RNA (3090 nucleotides) under Triticum aestivum (bread wheat). RNAcentral describes it as "partial small subunit ribosomal RNA". Lineage: Eukaryota; Viridiplantae; Streptophyta; Magnoliopsida; Poales; Poaceae. The record is from RNAcentral.